GACGAACGCUGGCGGCGUGCCUAAUACAUGCAAGUAGAACGCUGAAGGAGGAGCUUGCUUCUCUGGAUGAGUUGCGAACGGGUGAGUAACGCGUAGGUAACCUGCCUGGUAGCGGGGGAUAACUAUUGGAAACGAUAGCUAAUACCGCAUAAUAGUAGAUGUUGCAUGACAUUUGCUUAAAAGGUGCAAUUGCAUCACUACCAGAUGGACCUGCGUUGUAUUAGCUAGUUGGUGGGGUAACGGCUCACCAAGGCGACGAUACAUAGCCGACCUGAGAGGGGGAUCGGCCACACUGGGACUGAGACACGGCCCAGACUCCUCCGGGAGGCAGCAGUAGGGAAUCUUCGGCAAUGGACGGAAGUCUGACCGAGCAACGCCGCGUGAGUGAAGAAGGUUUUCGGAUCGUAAAGCUCUGUUGUAAGAGAAGAAAGAGUGUGAGAGUGGAAAGUUCACACUGUGACGGUAUCUUACCAGAAAGGGACGGCUAACUACGUG
This 495-nucleotide ribosomal RNA is filed under the name uncultured bacterium. RNAcentral describes it as "partial 16S ribosomal RNA". It matches the Rfam family "Bacterial small subunit ribosomal RNA", at positions 28 to 507 of the family's 1533-position model. The record is from RNAcentral.